This 558-nucleotide small RNA is filed under the name Histoplasma capsulatum var. duboisii H88. Its description in RNAcentral is "Histoplasma capsulatum H88 hypothetical RNA". The record is from RNAcentral. Lineage: Eukaryota; Fungi; Ascomycota; Eurotiomycetes; Onygenales; Ajellomycetaceae.
UUGCCUUGAACUGAGCCGCCAUUCUGCAGCCUGCAGCAGCCCCCUCCCUGUCGCGCGGGCCCCAGGAUCCAAUGAAUUCUCCUCAUUCCUCAGGUUAGUGGAGAUCAAGACAUGCCAGGCCACGACCGUCCAUGUAGACGAGCAUGUAGGGACUAGCGCCCUCCAGGUGGGCCGGCGUUUGCCGUCCCCCUCUUCGCCCCCGGGGCCUCCUACCUCAGCGUUCCCAGCGCUUGAAUCCACCCACUAGCUUCGCUGAAUUCUUGCAUCUCCAACAUCCAAUGACACAAUUCCGAGAAACCCCUGCAUUUCGCCCUUGGCCUUGCUUCACCACCCCCUCCCUUUAAGCUCUUGUCCUAUGUAGCCUUGGGUCACUCGAUAAACGAUGGCUCUCUUUCCCAACCCUCCAAUUUCACCCCUGGUACCCGCCCAUCCACGGAUCGGUCCGUUAGCCAACCCUCCAACCCUCCCUUAGAAGUACUGCGUGGUGAAAGCAUCUUGUUUUGUUUUCUGCAUCUCAUAUGCCUCUCUGCUUUUCAGGAAGCGCUGACGACCACAGAC